RNAcentral lists this ribosomal RNA (331 nucleotides) under uncultured bacterium. Its description in RNAcentral is "bacterial SSU rRNA". It matches the Rfam family "Bacterial small subunit ribosomal RNA", at positions 568 to 898 of the family's 1533-position model. The record is from RNAcentral.
CGCGUAGGCGGCUGUCACAGUCAGGCGUGAAAUUCCUGGGCUCAACCUGGGGGCUGCGUUUGAUACGUGACGGCUGGAGUGCGGAAGAGGGUCGUGGAAUUCCCAGUGUAGAGGUGAAAUUCGUAGAUAUUGGGAAGAACACCGGUGGCGAAGGCGGCGACCUGGUCCGUGACUGACGCUGAGGCGCGAAAGCGUGGGGAGCAAACAGGAUUAGAUACCCUGGUAGUCCACGCCGUAAACGAUGUGCGCUGGAUGUUGGGCGACCUAGUCGCUCAGUGUCGCAGCUAACGCGAUAAGCGCACCGCCUGGGGAGUACGGCCGCAAGGUUGAA